CUGGAGGUAUCAGAAGUGCGAAUGCUGACAUGAGUAACGACAAAGGGAGUGAAAAACUCCCUCGCCGGAAGACCAAGGGUUCCUGUCCAACGUUAAUCGGGGCAGGGUGAGUCGACCCCUAAGGCGAGGCCGAAAGGCGUAGUCGAUGGGAAACGGGUUAAUAUUCCCGUACUUCUUACUAUUGCGAUGGGGGGACGGAGAAGGCUAGGUGAGCCUGGCGACGGUUGUCCAGGUCCAAGUACGUAGGUGGAUGAA
Molecule: ribosomal RNA, 255 nt
Filed under: Photobacterium damselae
Lineage: Bacteria; Pseudomonadati; Pseudomonadota; Gammaproteobacteria; Vibrionales; Vibrionaceae
Description: partial 23S ribosomal RNA
Rfam family: Bacterial large subunit ribosomal RNA
Source: RNAcentral